Molecule: long non-coding RNA, 205 nt
Organism: Manacus vitellinus (golden-collared manakin)
Lineage: Eukaryota; Metazoa; Chordata; Aves; Passeriformes; Pipridae
Exons: 4
Source: RefSeq, a predicted model, not a curated record
CUCUUAGCCAUCUAAUUCCAUGAACAGAAGGAAUGCAAUCAGAAUGCAAACUGCCUGAAAUAAUGACAUCUACAAUGAAAGACAUCUUUUUAAUUCAUGUCAUUGUUAACAAAAACAUUCCAAACUAAGAGGCCGAGGUCUACCUGCAAAAUAGAGAUUUUGUUCCAAAGAAAACCAGCACUCCUCACAAAAGAAAGAAUGUGCC